GAGAACCCGCCCCCUUUGCCGGAACUAUCGCAUCUUCCAACGGAAAUCUAGUUGCCAAAAGAGGUGGAAAUGCGUCAUUGGCUAGAGAUCCCAUCAGAUCUGGAGCUGCUGGCCUACGCCACAGCCACAGCAACACCAGAUCCAAGCCGUGUCUGCGACCUACACCACAGCUCACAGCAACGCUGGAUCCUUAACCCACUGAGCGAGGCCAGGGACCGACCCCUCGUCCUCAGGGAAUGCUAGUCAGGUUCAUUACCGCUGAGCCAUGACGGGACCUCCUGCAUUUAGAUUUUUAGCGAACAUCUACUUCGCGCCUCACCUCAAGUCAGUUGCUGGGGAGAAGCAGAAAGGAGGCGUGGGCUGGGCUAGUGCGCAGGUGGACUCAGCCCACCCCUAGUGAGGCUCCCUGCCUGGACUUCUGGGAGAGGCUUGAAUGAGCCUUGAAGGAGAUACCUGACUAUCAAAGGAGGGGGCGAAACAGCAUCCCGAGCCAAGGAAAUGACAUUGUGAAAGCCUCCAAGAUGUUUGGGGUUCAUGACUCCUUGGCACAGUUAAGGCCUGGGGUCCACGGGACAGUCGGGGGAGAGAUGAAGUGAUGAGGCCGAAACCAGAGCAGCGGCUGACUGCACCUCAGGAGUCUGCGGGGGAAGGACUUUGUGGACGUGGCGAUUAUCUCAACUGUUUGUGGGGCAAUCACAGGAGCAUCUGGGGAGAAAACUGGCCCCAGAAGGAAAAGGGCUGCAGGCGGGAAGACCAGAAAGGAUGCUGUUCAGAUGGCCCAGGUGAAAGCCAGUGAGGGCCUAGACUGAGCAGACGUGGUGGGAUGGAGGGGCCCCAGGAGACAGCUCUGGAUUUGGCAGUUGCGGGGGAGGAGCUAGAACAUUGUGCUUUUACAAGAGUGGGUUAUUUAUCCAAAAACAAACAAAACAAAACAACAGCAACAACAGGGCAUUGCCGCAAGCUGUGGUGUAGGCUGCAGAUGUGGCUCGGAUCCAGCGUGGCUGUGGCUGUGCCGUAAGCCAGCAGCUGCAGCUCCGAUUCGAGCCCAGGAACUUCCAUAUGCCUCAGGUGGGGCCCUAGAAAAGGACAGAAAAAAAAAAAAA
RNAcentral lists this long non-coding RNA (1103 nucleotides) under Sus scrofa (pig). RNAcentral's name for it is "lncRNA (ENSSSCG00045036271.1)". The record is from RNAcentral. Lineage: Eukaryota; Metazoa; Chordata; Mammalia; Artiodactyla; Suidae.